Mus musculus (house mouse) is the source of this 9031-nucleotide long non-coding RNA. RefSeq annotates it as predicted gene, 30694. The record is from RefSeq and is marked validated. Lineage: Eukaryota; Metazoa; Chordata; Mammalia; Rodentia; Muridae. The transcript has a single exon.
GUACGUUGGAAAAAAAGACCUACUGUGGUGUGGUUGAGAUCUGUUGGGGACAACGGUGAAGUGGGGAGGGUAGGUAGUCACGUAGUGAUAGCUUCUCCUGCCCCAGCCUUCCAGCUGGUGAGCAACAGCAAGACCUUCCAUCGGGUGGAUGAGCCUCGAACCUGGAAAGAGGCCAUGUGGUAUUGCCAGGAACAUUACACUGACCUUGCUGACCUGCAGAGCAUGAACAGCCUAGUGAGCAUCAUGGUAGUCUACUCCUACACCAGCAGCAUCCACGCGUGGAUCGGCCUCUUCUAUGAUGUGCGCAUCUCUGGCCUGAGCUGGUCUAGUGGCUCCAUCUUUACUAUGCCAACAUGGACUACUACGAUGCCUGUCUUCCGGGAUGGACUCUGUGCUACUCUGUAUUCAUGGUACAGUCUACCUGCCCUGGGAGCUUCCCCCUGCACAGACCAGAAGCCCUUCAUUUGCUAUUUAGGUGUGUGCAGAAUAGUAUUCUGGGCCUGUUCUCUUCAGGACUGUUUGUUUUUUUUUUUGGGGGGGGGGGAUAGGGGUGGGAAAGGAGUGUGUGUUUUCUGUUUUGUGUGUAUGUGUGUGAGAGUGUGUGUGAGUGUGUGUUUUGUGUGUGAGUGUGUGUGUGACAUCUAUGAGAGUGACUGGAUGUUCCCUCACCCUCUUCAUAUUUAUUUCCUCUGUGAUCUUAGCCUUUCUGUACUCAAUCCCCAACACCUCACCAAAGAACUGGGUAUGAAUAAGGAUAGAGAAAAUAAAAUCUGGAAUGUUCCACUAAAUCUCUUCUGCCAUUUGCCACUUAAAGAUUUGAGCAAGGAAGAAAAUGGGAAAGAUAGGUUGGAGGUCAUUUAUCCAUGAAGAAAUGAAAGCAGACCUCGAGGUCUUGACUGACAAGGUAUAGGGUCUGGUCUACUGCCUUACUUGGUGGCAGAGAGAACAUUUUUUCCAUGAGACCUUUUGCUAUUUGCUAAGGUGUGGGUAGGUCCAACUCCAGACGGCAUUGCUGGAGAUCAGCCAUCAGCUCAUCAUGGUGCUGGCUGCUGGGGGAAUGUCCCAUCUUUGUGUUCUACCUAUACUGCCUGCCCCUUGGCAUCCACACUACUACCUUGGUGGGAGAGGUCACACAGAUGUAUGGUUGUGGACAGAGCUGCAGCUUCCUGGUAAACGUGCCAACUUCUGCCUUUCCUGACCAUCGAAGGCUCAGUACAAUUCUAUGCCACCCUUAUUGCCCAGAUACUGGCAUGGAGGUCAAUCUGCCAUUUCUCCAAGGCAUAGUCAUGGUUGCCAUGAAGCCCUUGAAACAGAAGCCCGUGAUGGCUUUGGCUUUAACUCUAGAUCCCAAGGGAAUAUAAAGAUCUCCAGGGGUGGCCAGGGAGUCUAGUAGAAAUCCCGCAGAAAUACGUUUCCUUUUGCUUCCUUGUAUUAAACUCAACUACAACACUCUCCUAUCACACUGUUUUCUCCAGUUCUGCAGGUUCAUUGUGAGUGCAUGGGUCAAAUGGCCAUUCACUUCUCUAAGUCUGCCCUGUGGCCACUGCCGUUUGUUGUCUGAACCGAGUGAGUUUUAACAGACACUGGAUAACUUCCUUACAAAAUCCUCAGCAGAAAUUCAAAGCACUUGGAAUAUCAUUCUUUUCAUAGACAACAAUGCCCUGUCUGGUCUCCUUGGCCCCACUGCUCAGCCCUUUCUCUAGCUGUGGUGUAUUGAUUCAUUUCUGUCCCCCAAUCCACACGGCUCCUCUCUGCAGUUGACUGCAGCUGUCCUCACUCGGUUGGGACUUGGUGGUUCAUAUUCUCAAAAGGAAAGACUCUGCUUACUAUGUUUAUGUCAUUUUCCUAGGGAGUAGUACCAGGCAUACAAUAGGAACUUAAUCUAUAUUUAUUGAAUAGAGAAUGGGUGAGGCUACUUUUGAAUUUCUUUUGGCUCUAACCUGGUGGUUCCUCAGCAGUUCUCAUUCCCUACCUCAUAAUUUGAAGUCUGCUUCUGUUUUUACAGACCCUGCUAUAGGACACCACGCCUCCUUGGUGUCCCCUGUCAAGGACCUGACCACUCUUCCAGAGGAAGGUAAGACACCUGGCUUUGACUUCCCUUUCCUGGGGUCUUGCCUUACUUUGCCUUGGGCUCAUCUCCCUGGACAGAUGUCGAUCACUAUGGUUCCCUCUGCCUUCUCCCUUUUCCCCCUGACUUGUUGUUUUACAUUGGGGUCCCCAGGCUGAAAACCCAGGGACUGAUGGAGGCAAGCCUGGAAAGAACAGAGUGGAGAGUAACUAGUUCUGGGUCUCCUGGUAGUGUGUAACUAGUUGCAAGCCUGCCAAUGGGUCUUCCUCUGGGAGUUAGGGGUUGGGUGAUGAGUGGGUAGGUAGGACUCCUUCACAACUCAGGUCUCUGCCUAGAGAGGGGUAGUUCCUUCAAGAUUCCUGCCCCUUGAACAACACUGCCCUGGUGUUUAAAAAGAAAGUUUCUUCUUAUCUGAUAGAGAAAAAUUCUAUGAUGAAAGGAAUAGAGUCAAUACCUUUACAUUUACGGUUCGUGCUCUGAGUGUUCUAGAAUACAGAGUGAAGUCGCAAGGGCUUCCAAGGCACCAAGACCUGUGCUUUAAUCACAUCCUGACACUGAAUUUGGGGCAAACUAUCACCUCUUUCACCUAAGCUGUGAAAUAAGAUUAAUAAUGGCUACUUCUCAGGAUGACAGUGAACAUCAAGAAGUCAUGUAGUCCAAAGGCACACAUCAAGGCUGGCACAUACUAGGGGAAUAACAUAGAGUAACUUUAAAAGGUUGGUUUUGGGGUUGGUGAGAUGGCUCAGUGAGUGAGUAAAGGUGCUUGCUGCCAAACCUGAUGACCUGAGUUCAGUCACUGGGACACACAUGAUAGAGAGAGAGAAGUGAUUUCUGCAAGUUAUCUUCUGACCUUUGUGUGCGUGCCGGGUCACAUUUAGAUAGGGAAACAAGCAUGUCUUAAUGGCCUGAGGAGAGCAGGUGCCAGAGGGGAGGAAGGGGCUCUAGUUUGAACGGGAGGACAUGACUCAAGAUUCUGCAAACAGUCUUUUCUUUAUCCAAACAUUCAGAGACAACACAGGUGGAGCUGCAGUGGCUCACACCCUUUCCCAAACUCCCAUUGCUAGGAGCCAGAGAGGCAUGGGCUUGAAGGGGUCUCUCAGGGUAGAACUUGUUUCUGAGACUCAGCCUGGAAUUCAGCAAUUCAGCCUGGAAAAGGGAGGUAGUGUGUUUGGGAGACUAUUAUCUUCUCUCUCUGAGCUCAUGAAUAGCAGAUCUGCUGGAAACAGCCUGCUAUGCUUCCUGCCCACCAGAUCUGCACUGAUGUGGUUGGCUCCUAAGAGAUCCCACCCUCUAGGGAGGGAAGGAGGGAGGGAGGGAGGGAGGGAAUCAUAGGAAUGACCUACUACUGUCUCUCAAAUAGUGCCUAUCAUUUUAUUAAGUUCUAAUGUGUUGUUUUAUGCAAUCCUGACUCUCUGUAUUAUUAUUUUUAUUGGACAGAUGAAGUGACUGAAACAUAAAUUUAACUUGUAAAACCAAACAGCUAUAUGAAGAGCCAUUUCUUCAAUGGCCCCCCACCCCGCACACCAGCUACUGCUGCUUUAUCUCAUUCUUCCAACUUGGUAGUUUCCCUGUAAUAUAGUGCUUUUGAUCAAACCUUACCUCUGAUGAUACAGGCCAUAGAACCUGGAUCUCAGAUCUGUGGUCUCUGUAUUCUUUGCCUCCAGCUGAGGUCAAGAUUGGUGGACAGACCUUCAUUCGGAUUAAACAAACCAUGACAUGGCUCUCGGCUCUGAACUACUGUCGAAACCACUACACAGACCUGGCCGAUCUGCAGAGAGUGACCAACGAGGACAAAGAAACUCUCAAGUUCAUCAUAAAUGAUGAUGAUGCCUGGAUUGGCCUCUACUUCAAUGUAAAGAUCAAAAAUCUGACCUGGUCCAGUGAUCAGGGUUCCAGCAUCCCUGAGUGGCUACAGGACUUGCCUAUGUUUGGUCAAGGACUGUGUGCAGGACUCCGCACCUUUGCAAAUCACCCACCUCAGAUUUAUGCUCUGCUUUGUCCUAAACUGAAACCUUUUAUCUGUUUCUAUGGUAUGUGAGACUGUCCUUGGAUCACUGAGGUUAAAAUGAAUUUAUUAGACAGUGGAGGAUACCCAGGGUAGACCUAGGCAAGCACUGGAGGCUUUGAGGGUGACAGAACUAUAAGGGAGUUGUAAUUCUUAAAUCCCACCCAGCCUUGUGCCAUUAGCUGCUAGCAUCAACAGUUAGUCAUCAGAGAGAUUAAGUAACCAUGAACCUGCACUUUACAAUCAGGUAGACUUUACCAUUUUCUAGCAAACAGGCAGAAUCUGAGUUCACCUUUCCUCAUCUGGAAAACAUACUUUACAAAUUUGGAUUGAGGACAUCCACCUCAUAGGAUGUCUGAAGGUAAUGGCAGCUAUGAUCACUAUGAAUCUGAGGGCAGAAGGGGACUCUGGAUCUUGUAUGUAUACAAUGUGCUUCCUCAGUGAGGGCCCUUCUCUCUUGCCCUUUGCUCUCAGGACCCCUCCUUCUUUUGUACCUUUGUUGAGAGAGAGUCCACAUGGGUUAUGACAAACUUUUGAAGUGUACAGUUCAGUGGGUUUUACUGUUUACCUGCUAUUCAACUGUCACCGCUGUCCAACUUAAGGACAAUUCCAUCACCCUCAAAUGUCCUUACUACAUGGUCAUGUUCUACUUUCCCCUUGGCAACCAAAAUAGACUUAUGUCUCUCUGGAUUUGCCUAUUUGUAGCUGUUUCUUUUCCUCUUUGAUUUUAAGACAAUCUUGGCCUUACAAUCUUACAAUCUGUAAGACUGUAAAUGCUCCUUGAUGAGCUGUUGUUAAGAUUAAAGGCGAGAGGACCUAUCCAUCCAGUGAUUUGUUCAGUGUGCAGUAGUGUUUUUGCUCUGAUGGAGGCUGCCUGGCAGUGUCUGUUGACUUCCCUUAGGGUUGGUGUGACAGGGCCUGCACUUACACUCUAUUUUCUCACAGACUCCUCCAUUGGACAUCGGAAGUCGGCAGAGAUGCCCCCACUUGUUGAUACUUCCUCCCCUAGAGUUCCUACAAGGACAACCUCUAGGCCAAACACAGGUAUAUUGAGUCUGUUUUUGGCUCUGUCUAGGGUCUUCUAGGCCUAGGAAACUAGAGAAAACAAUUGGUCUACAUGCAGCAACCCAGGGUGGAACUCAAGUGAGCAGCCCUCCCUGAAGUGCUAGUGAGUGAACAGAGGUGGGGUAUGCCACUUGUGUGGCAAUCAACUACUUACACCAAUGAAUCGUCGCCUCCUCCUCCUCCUGCUUGGCUAACCAAGGUAGGAAAAUAAGGAAUUGGUUUACCAAAGACAUCCUUCUUUGUGGGCUUCUGAGUUUGAAGCUCUAGGGCCAGGAGACCUGAGAAGCUGUGCAGUUUCUCAGGUGAAGAAAUAAAGGCUUAGGACCCAAAGGGAUAGAUGACUGAGCAAUACUCCUGAGGGAUAGAUGGUUGAGUGAUGCUCCUGGCUCACCAGAGAGGCCUUGGAGGCUCAGCAGCCAGAGAAAGGAAGCCUAACACAGUAGACCCAUUAUCCUUUUUAGAGUACGAUCCUGUGCUGGCAGAGGUUUUGGGAUGUGGUUAUAAGUUAGGACAAUUGACUAAGUCAGACCCAACAAUGGGGACAAAUACAACCAUGAAGACCUCCAAACGAAGCAAAGGCAGGGCUCAUUCUGAUGGUGCUUAGAGUCAGCCAGGUAAAGGUUGGUACUGUGAUGAACAUACAAGGAACAGGAGCCAUCCAGCCUCUUUAAUAGGGAUGGCAGGAGAGAGGACCUGCCAGCAUGCUUGUGUGGCAAUGUCAUCUCUGAGAGCUGGUAGAAGCACGGUUCCUUUUGGUUAAAAAUCUGGGUUGAGAAACUACCUUCUGCUUUCCUUUUAAGGUCUAACCUGGCAUCCAUCCAGUUAUCUCAGGCUCACUGUUUACUUGUGAUGACUCAAAUAGGUUUAGAAAAUGCUCUCUGCUCAGCUAUCUUCAGUGGAUGAAUACCACCAGGUAUGGCAGAAAAGCAGGGCUUGGAGCUAUGAUCUUCUCUCUGAUCUACCCCACUGGGCAUACUAGGGAGUUCCUGACUUGUGGCUAGGGCUUUGAAAAGGUCUUAUGUCCAGUGCAUGCCAUGUAACCCAUGUCUCUUGCCAUAGGGACCAGCACUGGCCCCAUUGAUUUAUCUCAAGCACUGGAUUCAACAACCUGGACCCCGCAGCAAGUGACUCAUGAACCAAGUGUGGUCAGCUCUGGCACCCAUGACUUCAGCACCUGUGACACCACCACUGCCACUCCGACUACCAUGGGCCUUACAGCUCUCCAACCUCAAGGGAUGGUUUCAACAAGUCCUCUGGCCACCUCUGAACAUUCAGGAGGUACCUUGAUUUUGAGAAGGGUUCAUGAGCCCACUGGUUGCUCCUCUGAGCUUGUCUUUGGGCCCUGGGCACCCAGAAAGCAGUUUGGUUCUGGGAGAUGGGCCUAGGACAGCACUGCUAAUUUCUCAGGUCUUGUCCUUGAACCUUGGGCCCUUGGGAAAAACUGAGUUCUGGAAGAAAAGUCCACAUCACCACUGGUCACUGCCAGAACCACAUCCUUGUAUCUCAGAUCCCCAGAUAGUAUUUCAAUUCUUGAUGAAAGGCUCAUGGCCAUUGCUCAGAGUGAAUCUUUGGAUCUUGCACCCUUGACACUAGCCCAUACUGGUUCUGUGCCUCAAGAAAGUGGAUCAGUUCACCAGGAAGCAGACAGAGCCCCCAGGUUAUCCUUUGCCAAUGGUACUGCAGAAGCUAUGCACCACAGUUCCCUAUAACCCAUGUCUCUUGCCAUAGGGACCAGCACUGGCCCCAUUGAUUUAUCUCAAGCACUGGAUUCAACAACCUGGACCCCGCAGCAAGUGACUCAUGAACCAAGUGUGGUCAGCUCUGGCACCCAUGACUUCAGCACCUGUGACACCACCACUGCCACUCCGACUACCAUGGGCCUUACAGCUCUCCAACCUCAAGGGAUGGUUUCAACAAGUCCUCUGGCCACCUCUGAACAUUCAGGAGGUACCUUGAUUUUGAGAAGGGUUCAUGAGCCCACUGGUCACUUCUCUGAGCUUGUCUUUGGACCAAGUGGGCUCAUGGCUACAGGGGAGGUAGCCACAAGGCUCAGCUCCAGCCACAAUGUUUCAGUUGUUCCCAUGUUAGCAAUUUUCUCUGGGUCCUCAUUCAGCUAGUCCUACAGCUCAGAGAUUCUGUGGAACUUUGCAGAGACCAAAGAGCGAGCUACAGAGUCAUCAUCUGUCUUAGGGAGCCCAGCAGAGAUCCAAAAUUGGCCCAAUGUUUCUGCACUCUGGAGCCUGGACACCAGCAUUCAGACAGCUGGGAGCCUGCCAGGAACUACUACAGGUACUCAUGUGCUUCACUGGGGGCUGGGAACCAGCAGCCAAAUAUCAAGUUACCAAGUGUAGAGCUGAGUGCAGGAGUCACAUGGGCUAGGCAAGGUGGCACUGCAAGCCUCUCUAUAGGGAAUCCUGUCUGGACAGUCCCAGCAUCUAAGCCCAUUCCCUUGAUCAGGAAGGAUAAGGAUGAGGUAAGGUGGUACGAUUUAGGGAAAUCCACCUUUAAGAGCUGAAGUCUGAUGUUAAGACUGGAACAGUGGCUCUGAAAUGUACUAUGCACAGCCUUAGACAACCAAUUUCCCCUCCGUCUCUCCCUCCCUCCUCAUUCUUCUUCCUUCCCUUUCAUUAUCCUUUUUUUUUUUUUUGAGAUAAGGCCUCACUCUAUAGCUUAAGCUGGCCUCUAACUCAUUGCAAUCCUGUCUCAACCUCCUAACUGCUGAGAUAGCAGAAAUGUACCACUACAUCUGUUUCCAUAACUUUCCUCCUCCUCCUCUUCCUCCUCUUCUUCCUCCUUCUGCUGCUGCUGCUUUGUGAGACAGGGUUUCUCUGUCCAGCUCUGGCUGUCCUGGAACUAACUCUGUAGGCCAAGCUGGCUUUGAACUAACAGAGAUCCACCUGCCUCUGAUUCCUAAGUGUGGAGAUUAAAGGCGUGCACCACCAUGCCUGGCUCCCAACCUUCUUAACCUCACUGAAUCCCAUUUUUCUUGAGUCAGUGUGAUAUAGUACCUCUCAAUUUCUGGUUCCAGCAGACAGUAAAUAUAGUUAUUCCCAUCUUAAUUUCAACUUACCAGUGAUACUUAGUGUCCUUACCUUCUUAGUAGGUCCACAAGGCUCAUUCUCAUGUCACCACACACGAUGACAGAUGAUUAGCUGUGAAUUGUGUACAUUACAGACUCUCCUAGUCAGAGGCCGUUUGUACUUCCUUUGUUCCCAUGCUUUGAACUCCAUCUUAUGCAAUAACCCCUGCUUUGUCUUGAACUAUGCAUACUGUGUGUCUCAAGCAGGGUGAGUAGGACUUGCCUCCUGCUUUUAGACAAAGGCAGGCUGAUAGGAACAGAUAGAGAGGACUGGAACAGCUUGUGAGUAUGAGAAGUGUGAACCACGAGCAGAAAGUGACUCCUUCUCUGGACAAAGGUGUAAUGAUUGCCAAGUAGGCUGAUGUUGUUAGCAUAGAGGUUAUAUGUGGAGGAGGGAGUAGCAGGGAUAAGGGAAAAGGGCUGUGGCCACAUUCUGAGGGCCUUGAACCUGUGGUCAAGAGGACCAACAGAAAGUUUCAGAAAAGGAGCAGAGUGCUAAGAUCUGUAGUUACUAGAGGUGGUAGGUGACAUGGGGAUCUAUAUCUAUAUCUCACAGUUUUAAUAGUGAGAGAAGCAUCAACCAAGGUUUAAAAAAUAAAGAUCAGAAGGAAAUGUUUUAACAGUAUACUUAUGAGUGUUCCCCCACUCCUGUGUUUCUGAAUCUUACCAAUCUGUUCACUUGUUAAAGAGGUUUAUAAGUCUCUGGAUGAGGAAAGGUGGGCUGUGGAGAGAAGGUCCACCAGAAAAGAAAGCCUGGGAGUAGCUGAGGCAGCAAUGAACUGAGGAGGGCCAAGAAGACUAGAUCUAGAUUAGU